CGGCUUGACCGGGCUCAAAUAUUAUUUUAGUAAAAUAAACAAACUUUAUACGCCAAAACCAUUUUUGCCCUGGUUCAAAUCAGAUAAAAUAUAUUUAAAGUUAAAAAAAAAAAAAAAAUUGGAAUGGUGGUGGUUCCUCUGUUGUCUUCUUCACUCUUUGCCUCCGCCGGACCUGGAAUUCCACCGGACGUCCCUCAAUAAUCGCCGGCUGGAUAUCCUUCAUCGCCGGGUAAUUGACUGGAAUUUAUUUCUAUGAUUGCGUGAUUCUAUAAUUAUUUCGAUGGCAAUAAUGGAGUCUGGAAUUUAUUUCACAAGAUUAGCAUUCAUUCUUUCUUUUCUUUCUGGAGCUCCAUCGACCGUUAGUUAUUUCAAGAUUUCUGAAGGAUGUAGUUAUUCCAUUCAUGAUUAUCAUCAGAAUCUUGGUAUAAUUUGGAGCUUAUCUGUGGAUAUAGAUCCAUUAUCAAUGAACUGCAGAUCUUCUUUUGCGCGUGGGAACUAAUGUGGAUCUACCACAGUCUUUAGUGGAAAUGGUUACUCAUGGUGAUAGACAAAGAUCCGAUAAUUUUCGAUCCGGAUAAGUGAGCUGUAAAUUAAACAGGAAACUGUAGUCUCAUUUCCCCUGUAUAAUGAGGCUCGUAAAUUUUAUCACCAUGAGGAGAAGAUGAUUCAGACAGCUAUACAUGCAUUAACUCGGCAUAUACAAUGAGAGACACGCACUCAAUGAAGAGAAAAGAACUACUUCUGGAAAUUGAUAAAAUUGUUGAUGAUCUAUACUACUUUAAGGACAUAAUUAAGUUAUUGGCGUAAAAGGCAUAAUCAAUUCUGUGGUUGCUAUAUUCUAUAUCCUUGUAUGUAUUCAAGCGUGAAGGAGAAGAUAACAUCAUCUACCCUAGUGAUGAAGCACAUGCACGAGUACAAACAGUCAACGUGAAACUUGUGGAGAUCCUGUUUGACCAUUCUGCUUGGGGAUAGUUUCUAACUCGACUAUAAUAAACAUCUAGCUAAAAAGGAGAGGCUUUUUACAUUUUUUAGUUAUUUGAUUUUUUUUUUCCCAAAAAUGUUGUAGAAAAUGCCUAGAAUUGUCUUGUGCAUUGUACUAUUACCAAUUUUUCCGUGAUGCAGGAGUGGAAUACUUAGAUUGUAUUUUUUCCACAAUCUGAUUGAAAAACUUUGUUUCUUAUGGUCAA
This is a long non-coding RNA of Ziziphus jujuba (common jujube), 1187 nucleotides long. RefSeq lists it as uncharacterized. The record is from RefSeq and is a predicted model, not a curated record. The transcript has 9 exons. Lineage: Eukaryota; Viridiplantae; Streptophyta; Magnoliopsida; Rosales; Rhamnaceae.